This 915-nucleotide ribosomal RNA is filed under the name uncultured bacterium. RNAcentral's name for it is "bacterial SSU rRNA". It matches the Rfam family "Bacterial small subunit ribosomal RNA", at positions 8 to 882 of the family's 1533-position model. The record is from RNAcentral.
AGAGUUUGAUCAUGGCUCAGGACGAACGCUGGCGGCGUGCCUAAUACAUGCAAGUCGAGCGAGCUUGCCUAGAUGAUUUUAGUGCUUGCACUAAAUGAAACUAGAUACAAGCGAGCGGCGGACGGGUGAGUAACACGUGGGUAACCUGCCCAAGAGACUGGGAUAACACCUGGAAACAGAUGCUAAUACCGGAUAACAACACUAGACGCAUGUCUAGAGUUUGAAAGAUGGUUCUGCUAUCACUCUUGGAUGGACCUGCGGUGCAUUAGCUAGUUGGUAAGGUAACGGCUUACCAAGGCAAUGAUGCAUAGCCGAGUUGAGAGACUGAUCGGCCACAUUGGGACUGAGACACGGCCCAAACUCCUACGGGAGGCAGCAGUAGGGAAUCUUCCACAAUGGACGAAAGUCUGAUGGAGCAACGCCGCGUGAGUGAAGAAGGGUUUCGGCUCGUAAAGCUCUGUUGGUAGUGAAGAAAGAUAGAGGUAGUAACUGGCCUUUAUUUGACGGUAAUUACUUAGAAAGUCACGGCUAACUACGUGCCAGCAGCCGCGGUAAUACGUAGGUGGCAAGCGUUGUCCGGAUUUAUUGGGCGUAAAGCGAGUGCAGGCGGUUCAAUAAGUCUGAUGUGAAAGCCUUCGGCUCAACCGGAGAAUUGCAUCAGAAACUGUUGAACUUGAGUGCAGAAGAGGAGAGUGGAACUCCAUGUGUAGCGGUGGAAUGCGUAGAUAUAUGGAAGAACACCAGUGGCGAAGGCGGCUCUCUGGUCUGCAACUGACGCUGAGGCUCGAAAGCAUGGGUAGCGAACAGGAUUAGAUACCCUGGUAGUCCAUGCCGUAAACGAUGAGUGCUAAGUGUUGGGAGGUUUCCGCCUCUCAGUGCUGCAGCUCACGCAUUAAGCACUCCGCCUGGGGAGUA